ACUUUUAAAGUAUCACCCCAAAACAUAAAAAAUUAAACAUUGCAUCUUCAAGUAUUACACAUUUUUAUACUUCAUCUACUAGAACAUACUCAAGUUCUCAAUUACUAUGAAUGAAAGACAAUAACGGAAUGCUUUUGAAUCGAGAAGAACUUUUUAAGGACUGUAGGAGUUGGAAAGAUAAGAAUUCUGUAAAUACGAGGGAUACU
This 206-nucleotide long non-coding RNA is filed under the name Carica papaya (papaya). RNAcentral describes it as "long non-coding RNA (CPAP_LNC007973)". The record is from RNAcentral. Lineage: Eukaryota; Viridiplantae; Streptophyta; Magnoliopsida; Brassicales; Caricaceae.